This 484-nucleotide ribosomal RNA is filed under the name uncultured Glomus. RNAcentral's name for it is "SSU rRNA". It matches the Rfam family "Eukaryotic small subunit ribosomal RNA", at positions 569 to 1060 of the family's 1831-position model. The record is from RNAcentral. Lineage: Eukaryota; Fungi; Glomeromycota; Glomeromycetes; Glomerales; Glomeraceae.
AGCAGCCGCGGUAAUUCCAGCUCCAAUAGCGUAUAUUAAAGUUGUUGCAGUUAAAAAGCUCGUAGUUGAAUUUCGGGAUCAAUAUUUCGGGUCAUGCCGUUGGUAUGCACUGUUAUCAUUGAUUUCUCACCUUCUAAAGAACCGUAAUGCCAUUAAUUUGGUGUUACGGGGAAUUAGGACUGUUACCUUGAAAAAAUUGAGUGUUUAAAGCAGGCUCACGCUUGAAUACAUUAGCAAUGGAAUAAUGAAAUAGGACAUCCGAUUCUAUUUGUUGGUUUCUAGGAUCGAUGUAAUGAUUAAUAGGGAUAGUUGGGGCAUUAGUAUUCAAUUGUCAGAGGUGAAAUUCUUGGAUUUAUUGAAGACUAACUACUGCGAAAGCAUUUGCCAAGGAUGUUUCAUUAAUCAAGAACGAAAGUUAGGGAUCGAAGACGAUCAGAUACCAUCGUAGUCUUAACCAUAAACUAUGCGACUAGGGAUCGGAUGA